UUUUCGCUCUAAGAUGAGUCCGCGUAAGAUUAGCUAGUUGGUGAGGUAAUGGCUCACCAAGGCGACGAUCUUUAACUGGUCUGAGAGGAUGAUCAGUCACACUGGAACUGAGACACGGUCCAGACUCCUACGGGAGGCAGCAGUAGGGAAUAUUGCACAAUGGAGGAAACUCUGAUGCAGCGACGCCGCGUGAGUGAUGAAGGCCUUCGGGUCGUAAAGCUCUGUCGCAGGGGAAUAACACAAUGAAUGUACCCUGUAAGAAAGGAUCGGCUAACUUCGUGCCAGCAGCCGCGGUAAGACGAGGGAUCCUAGCGUUGUUCGGAAUUAUUGGGCGUAAAGCGGAUGUAGGUGGCUUUGUAAGUCAGAUGUGAAAGCCCAGGGCUCAACCCUGGAAGUGCAUUUGAUACUGCGAAGCUUGAGUGUCGGAGAGGUUACUAGA
This 439-nucleotide ribosomal RNA is filed under the name Bdellovibrio bacteriovorus. RNAcentral describes it as "bacterial SSU rRNA". It matches the Rfam family "Bacterial small subunit ribosomal RNA", at positions 212 to 665 of the family's 1533-position model. Lineage: Bacteria; Pseudomonadati; Bdellovibrionota; Bdellovibrionia; Bdellovibrionales; Pseudobdellovibrionaceae. The record is from RNAcentral.